This is a long non-coding RNA of Corapipo altera (White-ruffed manakin), 318 nucleotides long. RefSeq lists it as uncharacterized. The record is from RefSeq and is a predicted model, not a curated record. Lineage: Eukaryota; Metazoa; Chordata; Aves; Passeriformes; Pipridae. The transcript has 3 exons.
AUUUUAUAGUUGUUCAAAUCUUUUUGCCUGGAAAUCCAACAAUACUCCAGGUACUCUGAACCCCACACACUACCUGAUUAGAGUUGACUUUUUAAGGGAGACAACAGGCAAUAUCAGACAUGUGGCCAAACAUCGUGUAAUCCUGGUUAGAUUUCUCAAUAUGUAAAAUCAAAAUCUGUUGCAUAAGGAUUUCAGUACAACCUUAGUGGAGAGACAUCCUUUUUGAAUUUUGCUUGUCCUGUUCAUGCAUGAUGGUCUCACUGUGAGCCACAUUAAUGACAGCUAACAAUAUAAGGAGUCGAACAAAGAAAAUGUAAG